GACGAACGCUGGCGGCGUGCCUAAUACAUGCAAGUAGAACGCUGAAGGAGGAGCUUGCUUCUCUGGAUGAGUUGCGAACGGGUGAGUAACGCGUAGGUAACCUGCCUGGUAGCGGGGGAUAACUAUUGGAAACGAUAGCUAAUACCGCAUAAUAGUAGAUGUUGCAUGACAUUUGCUUAAAAGGUGCAAUUGCAUCACUACCAGAUGGACCUGCGUUGUAUUAGCUAGUUGGUGGGGUAACGGCUCACCAAGGCGACGAUACAUAGCCGACCUGAGAGGGGGAUCGGCCACACUGGGACUGAGACACGGCCCAGACUCCUACGGGAGGCAGCAGUAGGGAAUCUUCGGCAAUGGGCGGAAGUCUGACCGAGCAACGCCGCGUGAGUGAAGAAGGUUUUCGGAUCGUAAAGCUCUGUUGUAAGGGAAGAACGAGUGUGAGAGUGGAAAGUUCACACUGUGACGGUAUCUUACCAGAAAGGGACGGCUAACUACGUG
Molecule: ribosomal RNA, 495 nt
Filed under: uncultured bacterium
Lineage: Bacteria
Description: partial 16S ribosomal RNA
Rfam family: Bacterial small subunit ribosomal RNA
Source: RNAcentral